GGAAUAUUGGACAAUGGGCGCAAGCCUGAUCCAGCCAUGCCGCGUGCAGGAAGAAGCAUCUAUGGUGUGUAAACUGCUUUUAUACAGGAAGAAACACUCCCUCGUGAGGGAGCUUGACGGUACUGUAAGAAUAAGGACCGGCUAACUCCGUGCCAGCAGCCGCGGUAAUACGGAGGGUCCAAGCGUUAUCCGGAAUCAUUGGGUUUAAAGGGUCCGUAGGCGGUUUAAUAAGUCAGUGGUGAAAUCUGGUCGCUCAACGAUCAGACGGCCAUUGAUACUGUUAGACUUGAAUUAUAAGGAAGUAACUAGAAUAUGUAGUGUAGCGGUGAAAUGCUUAGAUAUUACAUGGAAUACCAAUUGCGAAGGCAGGUUACUACUUAUGGAUUGACGCUGAUGGACGAAAGCGUGGGGAGCGAACAGGAUUAGAUACCCCGG
Molecule: ribosomal RNA, 435 nt
Filed under: uncultured Flavobacterium sp.
Lineage: Bacteria; Pseudomonadati; Bacteroidota; Flavobacteriia; Flavobacteriales; Flavobacteriaceae
Description: bacterial SSU rRNA
Rfam family: Bacterial small subunit ribosomal RNA
Source: RNAcentral